AGUGAAAGACUCUCCUGAGAGUGUGUGACCCAGGCUCCUCAUACAUCUGAUGAGAGACCUAAUAGUGACAUAUCCAGCAGAGUGAGGAGGAUGCCAAGAGCAAAAUCCACCCGGACAUCAGAAUUUCCCAGGGAGAUAAAGAGCUUUUUGUGAGAUGUUCAUGAAGCUCUGCUGGGUGAUACAGAACGGGAAUUGCUCUCAGCGUGAAGAACUCCCGAAUCUCUUCCCACACACCUCUUCACACAGCUGCAGUAAACUACAGAACGUGGAAUUGUUCAGAUGUGGUUUGCAAAUCACCACAGAAUGACCCAGGAACUUUAAGACAGACAGAGAGGAGUGGGUGACACACCUGACAGCAACCUGAUCUGUGUUGGAGAGAGUCAUGCCAAUGCCUCUGAGGGAUGCUGGUUAUGUUGACUGAGGCGCUACAGCAUUUGUCCGUGUUAAAACCAGAGAGUGCGCCUUCUAAUCUCACAGACCCAGCACCAGAUCUGCUUAUCAUAAAUUACACCCGGAGGAAAAGGAAUGAGGUCAGUUUGAGGUCACUGAUGGAAAGAUGGAGCUCUAGUUUAAGACAGUGGUGGACAAAAACAGAAUAAUGGUUGAUUUACAUGUGCAUCUCAAUUUAGCCAUUUAAGAUAUCAAC
Molecule: long non-coding RNA, 646 nt
Organism: Pimephales promelas (fathead minnow)
Lineage: Eukaryota; Metazoa; Chordata; Actinopteri; Cypriniformes; Leuciscidae
Source: RefSeq, a predicted model, not a curated record